CCUACGGGUGGCAGCAGUGGGGAAUAUUGCGCAAUGGGCGAAAGCCUGACGCAGCGACGCCGCGUGAGGGAUGAAGGCCUUCGGAGCGGAAACCUCUGUCAGCAGGGAAGAACGGUCACGGGGCUAAUCAGCAGUGAAUUGACGGUACCGGCAAAGGAAGCACCGGCUAACUCCGUGCCAGCAGCCGCGGUAAUACGGAGGGUGCGAGCGUUAAUCGGAAUUACUGGGCGUAAAGCGCUCGUAGGCGGUAUGUCCAGUCAAGGGUGAAAUCCCCGCGCUCAACGUGGGAACUGCCUUUGCAACUGGCAACCUGGUGUGUGUGAUAGGGUAGUGGAAUUCCCGGUGU
Molecule: ribosomal RNA, 346 nt
Filed under: uncultured bacterium
Lineage: Bacteria
Description: partial 16S ribosomal RNA
Rfam family: Bacterial small subunit ribosomal RNA
Source: RNAcentral